Molecule: long non-coding RNA, 3428 nt
Organism: Mastomys coucha (southern multimammate mouse)
Lineage: Eukaryota; Metazoa; Chordata; Mammalia; Rodentia; Muridae
Exons: 4
Source: RefSeq, a predicted model, not a curated record
AGACACACUGGCAAGCCUACAGACAUACUUGGACAGAUUAUCUCUCUCCUGAACUCUACACUCUGGUUUGCUUAAGACAGUGACCUCACAAUGGGCUUCAUGAACGUAAGUGGGACCACCAGAAAACUUUUCUGUGAUCUUCCAGCCCAGAAGCCUUAGGCCAACAUUUCUCCCUAACCUGCACGAUCCUAUGUUUCAGGGCUUACACAGAAGGUGACCCCAGUACCUGCUGUGUAAAAUCUAGUUAACUCAGAGAUGCAGAACCCAGGAUGCCCUAGAAAGGCUACCUGUCAUGACUAAGUUAGCCCUGAAAGUCUAAAGAAAAUGAGGAGCGGAUACACGCCCAACCCAAGACAGAUGGGGUACAAGGGAGUUUCCUAGGUCCUCAGUGUUUCAGCUAAAAAGGAGCAGAUGAGAUCAGUUAGCCCAGUCCCUCGCCCCAUUAAUGAAGAAGCUAUAUCCAGACAGCUUGAAGGUAGCCAACCCUUCAAGGUCGCUUUUUCAGAUCUAGCCUGCACUUGAGUCAAAGAGAAGGGCAAGAGCCUACACUGAAGCUGAGAAGAAAAAAAAAAAGAUCUUAUUACUUAAGUUCUAAGCCCAUGAUUCUCCUCACAUCCUGUGAUGAUUAACCAUCAGUCUUCAUUGUCCACUUGACUGGCUUGAGAAUCACCUGGGAGACACACCUCUGGAUUUAACUGGGGGGCAAAGGACCCAACCUGCAGUGCUGCCAGCCAUCACUCAGCCUACACUUCUGCUGUCCGCAAUGGGAAGUUUCAUGGUGCAGCAUCUCUGCGGACACCCUGGUACCCCGGAAUAGAACAGUUGUUAUUGUCACCAUCACUGACAGCCCAGGCAUCAUUUGGCAAGGCAACCCCAUUGGCAUGGCAGCAAUCAGUGAUCUGUGCUGAUGUCACCAUUCCACACAAUGAGACCAAAUCUCUCUUCGCUCUGACUCCUAGACCCCAGAGGGUGCGCAAAGGACAGAGUAAAUUAUUCUAGUAAUGGCCAUCUGAGGACACUAAGGACAAUGUCAUCCUACAGAGACAUGAAAGGGAUCUGAGGGGUCCACUACCUGAUCCAUCUUAAUGGCCAAGUCUGCUUCCCUCCCACAAGCCUUCCAGUUCUAGCCCCUUUUCCUAAGUCAUCUUAAAAUAUGUUUUUUAAUCAAAAAGGGCUCUGCUAUACUGCACAUUUGUAGGUCACUCAUCUGGCAGCUUUCCAAGUACAAGGAAGUCACCUGGAUAGGCAAGGCAAAGUCUGUCCACUAAAAGAGAUCUUUUGUUCCUAAGAAAAUUGGUUCUCCCUCCGCUGAAAUCCUCAAACCCUAGGUGCAUACUCAAUUCCCUCUAUUAUCUAGUUCUCUGUUCCUUGGAAAAUAUACAAAGGGGAAAGGUGACAGAAGGAAGCACACAGGGAGUGACAAAACCUCCAGAAAAAAAAAAUGGUGACAAGCACAGAGAAGACAGAAAUCAACAGAAAAGCCAACAACUGAGCAGCUACAGCUCUGGCAAUAAUCAGAGUCGGCGAAGAUCAUUCUAUAGACAUGGGAUGCACCAAAUGCACUGCUCACCAUCCUCACUCCUUACCAGGCCACCCCGGCUGAUUCCAUGGCAUCAGUAAAAGCUUAGGAUCCCUGCUGCAGUCUCUAAUUGAGGAGACAGAGUACUGAAGAAUUCCACGGGUGUUCACUGCACUUAUGUCACACCAGGCCAGCAGGCCUCCAUGCCACCAAUCCACCAGGCCACCAGGCAACCAGGUCCAGAGCUCUUGGUGACACCAUGAGGAGAGUCCCAUGUGGGAAGACACAUAGCAAAAACAGUUGGCUCUUCCCAUCCUGAGGGUACAGCAGAGUGGGGAGUGUGGGAAAAAAAACAAUAAUUUUUCUUUCUUCCAUCUCCACCCCACCCCCACCACAUAGCCAUUCCAGGAGGCAUGUAAGAUUUUGAAACUAGAAGGCUUGGGUGUCCAUAAGGUUAAAACAAAGGAUAGUUUUUUGAAGACUCCAAGAAGGCAGGUCAAAAGCUAGAGAUAAUCAGGGCUUGCUAGGUGGACUGACUGGUCCUCCGUGUGGGACAGGAACCAUCCUGAGUCCCACUGCCCUAGGAUACAGAUGAAAGGAUACUAUAGCACAGAAGGCUUGUGGUCCUGAGAGUACUCACGAGGGGGGAGGUAGAAGGGAAUAUUCCUAGGCAAAUUUGAUGCCAGUAGCUGUCACAGUCAUGGCACAUUGAAGCCACCUAGGACAGAAUAUUCAACAAAUACUGACAGUUCCACAGCGGGGUGAGGGGUAGGGGAGGAUCAUGAGGCUGGCAGGAACACAGACUAAAAUAUCUGACUCCCAUCUUUAAGAGUCCUGCAGGCCCCAGACCCAACGCUUCAGCAUAAGGGAUUGCCUCCCUACGGGAGGCAGAAGAGUGAUCCAGCUGCAGUAGGGUCAAAAAAACACCAGGAAAACUGUCCCCAGAGCAUUGUAGAACAAAGUCCACACACUCAACAACUGUGAAGUAUCUCUAAGAACAGCUCUGAAGGGACCCUAGCACAGCAGUGCAGGGAACGGGGAAGUCAACUUUCUGGGAAAGACAAAUGUGUGAAGAGGGGGUGAUCACAAAGAACCUGCAGUAUGGUUAGGCACUUUGUAACUGCACCAGCAGGGCAUCCAGACAAGGGGUCCUGCAGCUGCAAGAGCCCCGAAACAGGAAACGUGAGGCAGGUUACCUGUUCAGGGAGAAACAGACAGCAGUAGGCAUGAGGGGCUGCCAGGGCCCCGAUUCUUCUGGAACUUGCUUCGAAGGCCCUGGGAUUGGAGCGUGGUCGGGGAGUGAAAAUCCGCUCAACAAACAUGGCCAAUGGUUGCUCCCUGCCAGACUAUGUAAUUGCAAAAUCCAUUUCCAGAUGGCAUGCUUAUCUGAGACACUAUAGGCACCAUGUACCCUGCAGGAGCUCUGGUGCUCCCAUCCCAGAUGCCAACGUCUCCAGACUGGACCCAGCCUGUAGGUCAUACCUGCUCCACCAGGCUCCCCAAAGCCUUCUAACCAGGAGAGGCGGUUCCGUGAGUGCUCUUGAGGACCAGCGCUGGGAUUCACAGCACACAUAUAGAAGGCAGGUAGGUAUGCUGGUAACCACAGAAACAGGAAGGUAAGGGGUCCUUGAGUUGGGGCACUACAGAGCAGAAUAGCAGAUUUGAAACAAGAGAUGGGCAAAAUGAGGAAGUGCUGUCAUUUGGAAGGUGCUCCAUAAGCUUCCUAGGGAGGGCAGCAACUGAUAAGAACCUCCCAGCUAUAAUACCUACAAACAACGAUGACCAGUGAAGCAUGACAAUGCUUAGGGUACAAAGAUAGCACUCAUAACUUGGCAGUGAUCAACAGCUCUGUAAUUACACCUCAGAUCCAUUCAAUAGGAGGGAAAUCAAGCCUGGAACUAGAAACAUA